GCAGUGCAGAAUGGCAAGUUACCAGGGCACCAGCCUCCAAAUGGCUAUGGACCGGGAGCAGAACCAGGUUUUAAUGGUGGCCUCGAGCCACAGAAAAUUGGUUUAGGUUAUGGGAAUGGUGUCCUGGGAGCCAGGGUCUUCCCCGAGGCCCACCCACAGCCAGGGUUCCAUGGGGCCAAUGGUUUUAGGAAUAGUGAGUCAGACCCAGGGGACAAAGUGCAGUGGAGUGGGGGAGACAACAGCCCAGGGGCUAGGCGGGAAUGACCAGAGUCUCUUGGAGGGGAUGGGGUGGAAGCUCUGGUGUACCCCAAAGCAGCAGCUCUAGCCCCUGAAGGAAAUGGGCAGGCCGGGGUGCUGUGGAACUCUCGCUGGCCCACCCUCCAGGCCUGGGGGGCCGGCUUGAAGCCUGGAUAUCAGGCUGGAGAUGAAUAUGCUGAGGC
Molecule: long non-coding RNA, 440 nt
Filed under: Homo sapiens (human)
Lineage: Eukaryota; Metazoa; Chordata; Mammalia; Primates; Hominidae
Description: HSALNT0226778
Source: RNAcentral